GCCACCGUAGCUCAGUUGGUAGAGCAACUGAUUCGUAAUCAGUAGGUCAGCGGUUCGAUUCCGCUCGGUGGCU
This 73-nucleotide transfer RNA is filed under the name Candidatus Zixiibacteriota bacterium. Its description in RNAcentral is "tRNA-Thr". It matches the Rfam family "tRNA". From Rfam's summary of the family: Transfer RNA (tRNA) molecules are approximately 80 nucleotides in length. Their secondary structure includes four short double-helical elements and three loops (D, anti-codon, and T loops). Further hydrogen bonds mediate the characteristic L-shaped molecular structure. tRNAs have two regions of fundamental functional importance: the anti-codon, which is responsible for specific mRNA codon recognition, and the 3' end, to which the tRNAs corresponding amino acid is attached (by aminoacyl-tRNA synthetases). tRNAs cope with the degeneracy of the genetic code in two manners: having more than one tRNA (with a specific anti-codon) for a particular amino acid; and 'wobble' base-pairing, i.e. permitting non-standard base-pairing at the 3rd anti-codon position. The record is from RNAcentral. Lineage: Bacteria; Pseudomonadati; Candidatus Zixiibacteriota.